Molecule: unclassified non-coding RNA, 343 nt
Filed under: soil metagenome
Description: partial contains 5.8S ribosomal RNA, internal transcribed spacer 2, and large subunit ribosomal RNA
Rfam family: 5.8S ribosomal RNA (bases 1-120)
Source: RNAcentral
GAUGAAGAACGCAGCGAAAUGCGAUAAGUAAUGUGAAUUGCAGAAUUCAGUGAAUCAUCGAAUCUUUGAACGCACAUUGCGCCCGCCAGCAUUCUGGCGGGCAUGCCUGUUCGAGCGUCAUUUCAACCCUCGAGCCCCCCCGGGGGCCUCGGUGUUUGGGGACGGCACACCAGCCGCCCCCGAAAUGCAGUGGCGACCCCGCCGCAGCCUCCCCUGCGUAGUAGCACACACCUCGCACCGGAGCGCGGAGGCGGUCACGCCGUAAAACGCCCAACUUUCUUAGAGUUGACCUCGGAUCAGGUAGGAAUACCCGCUGAACUUAAGCAUAUCAAUAAGCGGAGGA